CCAGCACUGAGGGGACCCUCAUAAUCCUCUCCCCAUUUCUUUCUUCCCCACCAGGACCACCAGGAAGCUGGCAGGCACCGUACUGGGAAUAGCAGUGCUGGCAGUGUGAAAAAGUGGGGUUUGCAGCACAAGGAGGGGGAUGAUGAAGAGACACCUGUCCCAGAGCCAUAAAAGUGUGUGGAAAGGCUCCAGAGAGAAAUACUCCAUCACUGUGGAAAACCAGGUUGCAAAGGCAAGUACUCAGGCCUGCUGAAACGCCAGCAUGACUUCAGUGGUGGAAGAUGAGCAGUGUGCAUCAACACAAGGCAUGAAGAGAGCAGCAAAAGGUUUCAUGCAUGGAUCUGUCUGUCAAUUUGAUAAAUCACUCAACCUUCAUAGUUUCCUUUGGUGAAAAAAGUUUCCGGUUUGAUGACGGCAAUGCCCAGACUGGACGCCUGGCCAGGAAGGCAGGUCACAGCAGUGGAAACCCAGCUACAGUUACACGAGGAACUGCCUUCAGUGGCACCUGGGCUUACAAAGACCCUAUGAGGAAAUGAUGGCUCCGCGUGCUGAACCUGUUUGGAAAUAACC
Molecule: long non-coding RNA, 570 nt
Organism: Calidris pugnax (ruff)
Lineage: Eukaryota; Metazoa; Chordata; Aves; Charadriiformes; Scolopacidae
Exons: 5
Source: RefSeq, a predicted model, not a curated record